CGAAAGUGAGGAUAUCAAGGA
Molecule: microRNA, 21 nt
Filed under: Medicago truncatula (barrel medic)
Lineage: Eukaryota; Viridiplantae; Streptophyta; Magnoliopsida; Fabales; Fabaceae
Description: mtr-miR2666
Source: miRBase by way of RNAcentral